UCGAGAAUCUUCGGCAAUGCGCGAAAGCGUGACCGAGCGAUGCCGCGUGUGGGAUGAAGGCCCUCGGGUUGUAAACCACUGUCAGUUGGGAGGAAGGCUUCGUGAAGAGCGAAGCUUGACCCAUCUUCAGAGGAAGACCGGGCUAAGUUCGUGCCAGCAGCCGCGGUAAGACGAACCGGUCAAACGUUAUUCGGAAUCAUUGGGCUUAAAGGGUGCGUAGGCGGUGCGGUCAGUCGGGUGUGAAAUCCCUCGGCUCAACCGAGGAACUGCGCCCGUUACUGCCGUGCUUGAGGGUGACAGAGGCGAGCGGAACUGAUGGUGGAGCGGUGAAAUGCGUUGAUAUCAUCAGGAACACCGGUGGCGAAAGCGGCUCGCUGGGUCUCUUCUGACGCUGAGGCACGAAAGCUAGGGUAGCGAACGGGAUUAGAUACCCCCGUAGUCC
This 442-nucleotide ribosomal RNA is filed under the name uncultured prokaryote. RNAcentral describes it as "bacterial SSU rRNA". It matches the Rfam family "Bacterial small subunit ribosomal RNA", at positions 355 to 796 of the family's 1533-position model. The record is from RNAcentral.